This 474-nucleotide long non-coding RNA is filed under the name Brassica rapa (field mustard). Its description in RNAcentral is "long non-coding RNA (BRAP_LNC006808)". The record is from RNAcentral. Lineage: Eukaryota; Viridiplantae; Streptophyta; Magnoliopsida; Brassicales; Brassicaceae.
UUGACAGUCGUCAGCAUAGCUUCGGUUUUAGACCAUCUACCUUGCAGCUCGUCAACUCCCCAGCAAGACGACUGGCCUCAGAACCGCUCUCAGUGAUCAUCCCGUUGAUCAGUGACAUGAACUGCGAGACGAAAAAAGAGUUAGGGAUAAAAAUAAAUCAUAAAAACAAAAAAAUACAAAACAAGCAACAAACGUUUCCGCGUAGUCCCAACGCUAGACUCGAGCCUCCUUGCUGCGAAGAUUCCCCAUCACCGCCCUUGGUAAACUUCCUCUUCCGGCCCUUAGGCUGGGCAACUGGAACAGCGCUAGGAGCACGCAGCGCUAGGACGAUCUCUUUUCUAGCCGAAGGAGGAGGCAUAGACUCAGCGGCCCUCUCCUUAUUCUCGACAAGAAUCGGAGUCGUGGACGAUCCGGCAGGAAGAAUUGAAGUAUCCGGAACACACGGAACGCUUGUGGUAGUGAGGGUUCAUGCAU